RNAcentral lists this long non-coding RNA (554 nucleotides) under Phoenix dactylifera (date palm). Its description in RNAcentral is "long non-coding RNA (PDAC_LNC014108)". Lineage: Eukaryota; Viridiplantae; Streptophyta; Magnoliopsida; Arecales; Arecaceae. The record is from RNAcentral.
GUUAGAAAAUACAACCUGGCGGGAGGCAAGAGUUGGGAAGCAGGUCAGCUAACACCUGAACUACUGCAUAUGUAUCCAUAGCCGACAUCCAGAAACUGUGCUCAAUAAAUUUCUAGGAUUAGCUUUGUCUUCAUUUUAUUCUAAUCCACUACUAGUAGUGGUACAAGGAAAACAUUCACCCACCAAUCUACAUACAGCAUCAAGCAGCAGUGUUUCCUGCACUACAACUAUAAAGCAGACAGCUACAAAGUAGAUUUACAGAAAGGCCUAGAUUCAACACCAAAACCAAGAUAUAAGUACCCCCUACCCAUAUGAUAGCUCAUUAUGGCAACCUCCGGUAUACCAAGCCAUUGUGUCACCAGUCAUCAUCUAGCAGUUUGUAUCAUAGGCUGCAAGCCCUUGCAACUCGGGACCUUCCAACUGCCAAAUGGCCAUGGUCCAAAGUCAUUUAUGAAAGAAAAAACCAAAUAACAUUACAAAAAUAAAUUCCAUGCUUAUCAAAGCAUUUGUUCUCUUGUUAAAGGUUGUUUUAUUUGUUUUGGUAAGAAAUUUAA